GGAACCCUAUGGCACAAGCCUCAAACCCACACGCACAAGUAGAUACGGAAUCCAAAGAUUUGAUAAACCCACCUCCUAUGGCACCCCAAACUUAGGGAAGCUGAAACACCAAUGAUCGAAGGAUUUAGAUGAGAAUCUGACAAACGCCACAACGAAUAGUUGAUAAGUUAGCCAAGAUUCCUGGUGCAAUUGAUGAAAGCAAAUCCUCACUCUCACUCAAAGC
Molecule: long non-coding RNA, 223 nt
Filed under: Manihot esculenta (cassava)
Lineage: Eukaryota; Viridiplantae; Streptophyta; Magnoliopsida; Malpighiales; Euphorbiaceae
Description: long non-coding RNA (MESC_LNC004730)
Source: RNAcentral